GAGAAAACUCAGCUCUUAGGUUGCCUGACAGGGGUAUGAAAACAAAAGCUGGCUUCUCUACCCUCGUCCAGCUCAGAUUGAGGCAAGAUGAAAAGCUGAGUUUUGGGUUAGCCUUCUGGCAUGCUUUUGACACCAUUACAAUUUCAGGUGGUCACUCAGGAAGGAGCAGCUGGGAUUCAAAUCAUCACUGAAGAUAAAAGCCCUCGCAGACAGAAGGACACCAAAGUCCUUCAGAGCACGGCCACAGGAAAUACUGGUCACCAUUUCAACAGCUGUAAAACUGGAUGUUGCAGGUGUCUUUCAUUGACAGCUGCAAUUCUACUGAUGCUGUGCAGCACAGGAUGUCCAUUCUCAUACGUUUCAAGACACAGGAAAUGCAACUCAGUAUCUGAAUGCAUAAGAAGG
This 405-nucleotide long non-coding RNA is filed under the name Serinus canaria (Common canary). RNAcentral describes it as "lncRNA (ENSSCAG00000011586.1)". The record is from RNAcentral. Lineage: Eukaryota; Metazoa; Chordata; Aves; Passeriformes; Fringillidae.